RNAcentral lists this ribosomal RNA (428 nucleotides) under Candidatus Omnitrophota bacterium. RNAcentral's name for it is "bacterial SSU rRNA". It matches the Rfam family "Bacterial small subunit ribosomal RNA", at positions 1 to 414 of the family's 1533-position model. Lineage: Bacteria; Pseudomonadati; Candidatus Omnitrophota. The record is from RNAcentral.
AAACUGGAGAGUUUGAUCCUGGCUCAGAACGAACGCUGGCGGCGUGGAUUAGGCAUGCAAGUCGAACGAUCUCUUUCUUCGGAGGGGGAAAGUGGCAAACGGGUGAGUAACGCGUGGGUUAUUUACCUAUAGGUUCGGAAUAACAUGACGAAAGUUGUGCUAAUACCGGAUAAGACCACAGUUACCAAGUAACAGUGGUUAAAGAUGGGGAUCCUGAAAAUGGACCUGUCGCCUGUAGAUUUGCCCGCGUCCUAUCAGCUUGUUGGUGGGGUAAUAGCCUACCAAGGCGACGACGGGUAGCUGGACUGAGAGGUUGACCAGCCACAAUGGGACUGAGACACGGCCCAUACAUCUACGGAUGGCAGCAACUAGGAAUCUUUCGCAAUGGGGGAAACCCUGACGAAGCGACGCCGCGUGGAGGAUGAAGG